This 557-nucleotide long non-coding RNA is filed under the name Chrysemys picta bellii (western painted turtle). RNAcentral describes it as "lncRNA (ENSCPBG00000021086.1)". The record is from RNAcentral. Lineage: Eukaryota; Metazoa; Chordata; Testudines; Emydidae.
GGCCCGUCCCAAUCCCCCCUUGGCGGGGGACCUGGCCUUUUUUUCUCUUUUUUUCCCCCCCUCCUCCUUAUGCCUCUGCCAUUUUGUCAGCUAGAGAGAGAAGUCACAGGCAAGGCAACUGUACAGCCUGCAGGAGUGUGACCAUGGACUGGAAUGAGAGUAAGAGCAGAAUCGAACCCCCUUGCAGCCACCCUGCCUCAGCGGAACAAAGUUGCAAUGAGGUUAAUUAAAACACACAUUGGGCUGGAUUCUCUGGAACGACACUAUCUUAUCGUAGAUUUCUGUUACCGUGUAGACAAGCCUCCAGUCGAGCUGACCUUGCUGACUUGAAAGGGUCUUGCUCCACUCUUCGGUUGCGUUAGUAGUUGUCAGAGUUGGUCAGCCCAGCCAUGGUCUUAUACCCUGUCCUCCUACCUCAUCUGAUGACAGAACCGGAGAAAGAUUAUUUCAUCGCUGGAUGAACUUAUCACACCCUUCACGGGCCAAGUUUGUCAUUAGCUUCACGGGGAUCCGACCCCCCCUCAACUUCUCCCUGCAAAACAAAAAUGCCUUUUUUU